This 778-nucleotide ribosomal RNA is filed under the name uncultured Neocallimastigales. RNAcentral describes it as "partial large subunit ribosomal RNA". It matches the Rfam family "Eukaryotic large subunit ribosomal RNA", at positions 24 to 628 of the family's 3401-position model. The record is from RNAcentral. Lineage: Eukaryota; Fungi; Neocallimastigomycota; Neocallimastigomycetes; Neocallimastigales.
UCGCAUCUGUGCAUGCAGCAUAUCAAUAAGCGGAGGAAAAGAAACUAACAAGGAUUCCCCUAGUAACGGCGAGUGAAGCGGGAAGAGCUCAAAUUUGAAAUCUUAAAGGGUUUCCCUUUACGAAUUGUAGUUUAAAGAAGUGUUUUCUGUUGAGGUUUUAGUAAAAGUUCUUUGGAAUAGGACAUCAUAGAGGGUGAGAAUCCCGUAUUUGACCUUUACUUUCAACUUUGUGAUACACUUUCAAAGAGUCGGAUUGUUUGGGAAUGCAGUCCAAAAUGGGUGGUAAAUUUCAUCUAAAGCUAAAUAUUGGCGAGAGACCGAUAGCGAACAAGUACCGUGAGGGAAAGAUGAAAAGAACUUUGAAAAGAGAGUUAAACAGUACGUGAAAUUGUCAAAAGGGAAGCGUUUGACACCAGUGUUGUUUUUCUGAAAAUCAAUUAAAGAACUGUUUAUGCUAAGUUGUUUAGACAUUUAUCAGCUAUCUGCUUAGUUUUGAGCUUUUCUUUAAUGCACCUUUUCAGUUAACAAGGUCAACAUCAAUUUCUUUUACUGUAAAAAAGCUUGAGGAAGGUGGCUUGAGAUUCGUCUUAAGUGUUUAUAGCCUCUUGCCUAUGCAGUCGGAGAGAUUGAGGUCUGCAGCGUAGAUCCUUCGGGGCUAAAUGCAUUUGUGCUAAGUUAUAGCAUUUUAUAGACAACUUGUUGACUAUGAUUUGUCUUGUAGCUUACUCGCUUAUGUUAUUUUACCUACGCUUAGGAUGUUGAGUCGUAGAGCACGCAG